UAGGAGCUUGACGGUACCGUAGAGAAUAAGGAUCGGCUAACUCCGUGCCAGCAGCCGCGGUAAUACGGAGGAUCCAAGCGUUAUCCGGAAUCAUUGGGUUUAAAGGGUCUGUAGGCGGUCUUGUAAGUCAGUGGUGAUAGCCCAUCGCUCAGCGGUGGAACGGCCAUUGAUACUGCUGGACUUGAGUUAUUGGGAAGCAACUAGAAUAUGUAGAUGUAGCGGUGA
RNAcentral lists this ribosomal RNA (225 nucleotides) under Flavobacterium sp. RNAcentral's name for it is "partial 16S ribosomal RNA". It matches the Rfam family "Bacterial small subunit ribosomal RNA", at positions 462 to 684 of the family's 1533-position model. Lineage: Bacteria; Pseudomonadati; Bacteroidota; Flavobacteriia; Flavobacteriales; Flavobacteriaceae. The record is from RNAcentral.